Molecule: ribosomal RNA, 407 nt
Filed under: uncultured eukaryote
Lineage: Eukaryota
Description: bacterial LSU rRNA
Rfam family: Bacterial large subunit ribosomal RNA
Source: RNAcentral
UGGACAGAAAGACCCUAUGAAGCUUUACUGUAACUUGAAAUUGAAAUUGGACUUUAGUCGCGCAGCAUAGGUGGGAGGCGUUGAGCAUGUUCUUGCGGGAACAUAGGAGCCAUCAGUGAGAUACCACUCUUCUAAUGUUAGAUUUCUAACCUUGUACCAUUAUCUGGUCAAGGAACAGUUUCAGGCGGGCAGUUUGGCUGGGGCGGUCGCCUCCCAAAUGGUAACGGAGGCGUACAAAGGUUUCCUCUGAACGGAUAGAAAUCGUAUCUAGAGUAUAAAGGCAUAAGGAAGCUUGACUGUGAGACCUACAAGUCGAGCAGGGGCGAAAGUCGGUCUUAGUGAUCUGACGGUACUGAGUGGAAAGGCCGUCACUCAACGGAUAAAAGUUACUCUAGGGAUAACAGGCU